AGUCACCACAUGCCAAGGCCCAGAAAUUUUCCAUUUCACUGAUAAGCCUUCUUUCACAUCCCAAAAAGGAGUUUCAGCUAAAGAAACAAAGAAUCUAUCUGCCAAAAUACCUUUCCAAAUUAUGCUCAAUAAUCUCAGAAGCAAAAAACAAGCCCUAUUGAAAAAACAGAACCAGUUCAUCUGGGAAGAAUCUCUACAGAGAACAAAACAAAGGCAGGGAUAAGAGAAACUCAAAACUGCUGCUGGAAGAAAAACGAGGUAAGCAACCAAUUCCCUUGACUUCAUUUUCUGUGUAGGAAAUGGGCAAAACAUAUCACUUUGGUAACCUUGGC
RNAcentral lists this long non-coding RNA (332 nucleotides) under Taeniopygia guttata (zebra finch). RNAcentral's name for it is "lncRNA (ENSTGUG00000022817.1)". The record is from RNAcentral. Lineage: Eukaryota; Metazoa; Chordata; Aves; Passeriformes; Estrildidae.